Molecule: non-coding RNA, 27 nt
Filed under: Rattus norvegicus (Norway rat)
Lineage: Eukaryota; Metazoa; Chordata; Mammalia; Rodentia; Muridae
Source: RNAcentral
GGAAAGGAUGAAAAGGCCAGCAGCCUC